UACGGAGGAUGCGAGCGCUAUCCGGAUUUAUUGGGUUUAAAGGGUGCGUAGGCGGGUUAUCAAGUCAGCGGUAAAAUCGUGGAGCUCAACUCCAUCCAGCCGUUGAAACUGAUGAUCUUGAGUGGGCGAGAAGUAUGCGGAAUGCGUGGUGUAGCGGUGAAAUGCAUAGAUAUCACGCAGAACUCCGAUUGCGAAGGCAGCAUACCGGCGCCCGACUGACGCUGAAGCACGAAAGCGUGGGUAUCGAACAGG
Molecule: ribosomal RNA, 252 nt
Filed under: uncultured bacterium
Lineage: Bacteria
Description: partial 16S ribosomal RNA
Rfam family: Bacterial small subunit ribosomal RNA
Source: RNAcentral